Molecule: ribosomal RNA, 301 nt
Filed under: uncultured bacterium
Lineage: Bacteria
Description: partial 16S ribosomal RNA
Rfam family: Bacterial small subunit ribosomal RNA
Source: RNAcentral
CAGCAGCCACGGUAAUACGGAGGGGGCUAGCGUUGUUCGGAAUUACUGGGCGUAAAGCGCACGUAGGCGGCUUGGUAAGUUAGAGGUGAAAGCCCGGAGCUCAACUCCGGAAUUGCCUUUAAGACUGCCGAGCUAGCAGGUGAGAGAGGUAAGUGGAAUUCCGAGUGUAGAGGUGAAAUUCGUAGAUAUUCGGAAGAACACCAGUGGCGAAGGCGGCUUACUGGCUCAUACUGGACGCUGAGGUGCGAAAGCGUGGGGAGCAAACAGGAUUAGAUACCCCCGUAGUCCCUGUCUCUUAUAC